RNAcentral lists this ribosomal RNA (301 nucleotides) under uncultured bacterium. Its description in RNAcentral is "partial 16S ribosomal RNA". It matches the Rfam family "Bacterial small subunit ribosomal RNA", at positions 509 to 807 of the family's 1533-position model. The record is from RNAcentral.
CAGCCGCCACGGGAAUACCGAGGAUGCAAGCGUUAUCCGGAAUGAUUGGGCGUAAAGUGUCUGUAGGUGGCUUUUCAAGUCCGCCGUCAAAUCCCAGGGCUCAACCUUGGACAGGCGGUGGAAACUACCAAGCUGGAGGACGGUAGGGGCAGAGGAAAUUUCCGGUGGAGCGAUGAAAUGCGUUGAGAUCGGAAAGAACACCAACAGCGAAAGCACUCUGUUGGGCCGACACUGACACUGAGAGACGAGAGUUAGGGGAGCAAAUGGGAUUAGAUACCCCUGUAGUCCCUGUCUCUUAUAC